This 254-nucleotide ribosomal RNA is filed under the name uncultured bacterium. RNAcentral's name for it is "partial 16S ribosomal RNA". It matches the Rfam family "Bacterial small subunit ribosomal RNA", at positions 524 to 776 of the family's 1533-position model. The record is from RNAcentral.
GACGUAGGGCGCGAGCGUUGUCCGGAUUUAUUGGGCGUAAAGAGCUCGUAGGCGGCUUGUCGCGUCGACUGUGAAAACCCGUGGCUCAACCAUGUGGUCUGCAGUCGAUACGGGCAGGCUAGAAUUCGGUAGGGGAGACUGGAAUUCCUGGUGUAGCGGUGAAAUGCGCAGAUAUCAGGAGGAACACCGAUGGCGAAGGCAGCUUACUGGGCCGAAACUGACGCUGAGGAGCGAAAGCGUGGGGAGCGAACAGG